UCGUAACAAGGUUUCCGUAGGUGAACCUGCGGAAGGAUCAUUACCGAGUGUAGGGUUCCUAGCGAGCCCAACCUCCCACCCGUGUUUACUGUACCUUAGUUGCUUCGGCGGGCCCGCCAUUCAUGGCCGCCGGGGGCUCUCAGCCCCGGGCCCGCGCCCGCCGGAGACACCACGAACUCUGUCUGAUCUAGUGAAGUCUGAGUUGAUUGUAUCGCAAUCAGUUAAAACUUUCAACAAUGGAUCUCUUGGUUCCGGCAUCGAUGAAGAACGCAGCGAAAUGCGAUAACUAGUGUGAAUUGCAGAAUUCCGUGAAUCAUCGAGUCUUUGAACGCACAUUGCGCCCCCUGGUAUUCCGGGGGGCAUGCCUGUCCGAGCGUCAUUGCUGCCCAUCAAGCACGGCUUGUGUGUUGGGUCGUCGUCCCCUCUCCGGGGGGGACGGGCCCCAAAGGCAGCGGCGGCACCGCGUCCGAUCCUCGAGCGUAUGGGGCUUUGUCACCCGCUCUGUAGGCCCGGCCGGCGCUUGCCGAACGCAAAUCAAUCUUUUUCCAGGUUGACCUCGGAUCAGGUAGGGAUACCCGCUGAACUUAAGCAUAUCAAUAAGCGGAGGA
Molecule: unclassified non-coding RNA, 608 nt
Filed under: Aspergillus flavus
Lineage: Eukaryota; Fungi; Ascomycota; Eurotiomycetes; Eurotiales; Aspergillaceae
Description: sequence contains 18S rRNA gene, ITS1, 5.8S rRNA gene, ITS2, 28S rRNA gene
Rfam family: 5.8S ribosomal RNA (bases 226-379)
Source: RNAcentral